GGGAACUAUGGAGCUAUGAGGGAGGAGCUGGCCAAAGUUCAAUGGAACAAUACCCUAACAGGGAAGACAGUGGAACAACAAUGGCAGGUGAGGACAGUAUACUUGAAGAUCAUCAUCUGGUAUUCUUUCUUUCUCCUCCAACUCCGAGGCUCAGAUACUGGAAAAAGGUUGUGAUAGCCGGAGGUCAGCAGGAGACGCUCAUGGAAUGUGCAGUGGAAAGUAUACUGACUAAAUGCAUCACAGCCUAAUAUGGAAACACCAAUACCCUUCAGCGGAAAGGUCUAGAAAAAUUAGUGAAUACAGCCCAGUCCAUCACAAAUAAAACCCUCCCCACCACUGAGCACAUCUGCGAGGAGUGCUGUCACAAGAAUGCACCAUCUAUCAUCAAGGACCUGCACCAUCCAGGCUAUGCUCUAUUCUCACUGCUGCCAUCAGGAAGGAGAUACAGGAUCCUCAAGAUCCAUUCCACCAGCAACAGUUAUUAUUUCUCAACCAUCAGGCUCUUGAACCAGAGGGGGUAACUUCACUCAACUUUACUGACCUCAACACUGAACCAUUCCCACAAUCUAUGGACUCACCUUCAAGGACUGAUCAUCUCAUAUUCUCAACAUUUAUUGCUUAUCUAUUAUUAUUUUAGUAUUUGCACAGUUUGUCAUCUUUUGUACUUGGGGUGAAUGUCCAUUUUGUGUGGAGUUUUACAUUGAUUCUGUGGUGCUUCUUUGUAUCUACUAUGAAUGGCUUCAAGACAAUGAAUCUCAGGGUUGUAUAUGGUAACCUAUAUGCACUUUGAUAAUGAAUUUACUUUGAACUUUAAACUCCAACUUGGUCACACUGAAAGCAUAGUAUUCCCAAACAUUAAGCUGCCAGUCCUACCUUUCUCUCACAUAUUUCUGUUAGGACCAUAAAUAUCCCAGUCCCUAAAUGCAAUCUACACCCUCAGUUCAUCUGCCUUACAUGCCAAGGUACAGGCAUUGAAACAGAUGCAAUUUAAAGUAGGCCUUCUAUCUGCUCUUUUAAAGUAACCAUGACUAUACUGAUUGCUGGACUAAUAAUGUUCUUUGGAUGUUUCUGUCUUUUCACUGACUUUACUCUUAUGAGUCCUACCCCGCCAAAAAAACACUCUCCCUGGUCGCAAAAGCAAAUUUCCCUGCUAGGUUACCGUCCCCCUCAGGUUCAAGUGCAACCCAUCUAAACUGCACAGGCUUUGUACCUGUACAUUUACCCAUGUAGCUGCUGUUCCAAGUGCUUCACAUUUUCCUAGAAGAGAGAGAAAAAGAGAGACACAGAGAAGGGGGGGGGAAGCGAGGUGGGUGGGGAGCGAGGACAUGCACGCAUGCAGCAUGUCAAAUUGUCAAGUGAACAAUUAGUUUUUGUGGGACUGCAGAUUAUGAUCUCCCUUUGGGGGCUUUGCUAAUGCUUGGUGGGUAGUGGGUCCUGAUGCUUCCUGCAGAAACAAGUGGAAUGGGUGAAUGCUUUGCCAUGGGGGGGGGGGGGGAGAGAGGGCUUUGGGGUUCUAACAUUUUACUGUCAUUCAUUCUUUGUGGUUUGGUGGUUCUCUUCUGUUUUCAUGGAUGUCUGUAAAGAACAAGCAUUUCAGGUUGUAUAAUGUACACAUUUUCUGAUAUUAAGUGGAACCAUUGAACCACUUCUCCCUUCAAUAACGCAGCCAACCAAAAUAAAUACCUCAAUGCUGGCAAGUUAUUGUUCCCUACACAAAUCACAGGUGAGAACAGAAGUUUGUAUUCAACUAUGUCCACGGAAGUAGUUAAAUAGAGGAUAAAUGUCAGUAGUGGAUCAACAAUAUUUAGAUGGCAUUUAGAGAAUGGGAGAGACAGAUUUCUUCUGCAUACUUGAGUGUACGUAGGGUGUAUGCACAUUCUGUGGAAAUUUACCCAGUACAUUAGCCCCAACUUAGCAAAAUGAUCAUGCACUGACAUACUGGAGAAAAAGAUCACUAUUUAACGAAGUAAAAUAAGGAUUUCAGUCAAAAUAACCCAUAAUAUUCUGUUAAUUUAAAUAAUAUGGAUUUGACAACAGUUGUAACUUAAAAGUCAC
This is a long non-coding RNA of Hypanus sabinus (Atlantic stingray), 2055 nucleotides long. RefSeq lists it as uncharacterized. Lineage: Eukaryota; Metazoa; Chordata; Chondrichthyes; Myliobatiformes; Dasyatidae. The transcript is spliced from 3 exons. The record is from RefSeq and is a predicted model, not a curated record.